RNAcentral lists this ribosomal RNA (467 nucleotides) under uncultured bacterium. Its description in RNAcentral is "partial 16S ribosomal RNA". It matches the Rfam family "Bacterial small subunit ribosomal RNA", at positions 28 to 506 of the family's 1533-position model. The record is from RNAcentral.
GACGAACGCUGGCGGCGUACUUAACACAUGCAAGUCGAACGGAAAGGCCCUGCUUUUGUGGGGUGCUCGAGUGGCGAACGGGUGAGUAACACGUGAGUAACCUGCCCUUGACUUUGGGAUAACUUCAGGAAACUGGGGCUAAUACCGGAUAGGAGCUCCUGCUGCAUGGUGGGGGUUGGAAAGUUUCGGCGGUUGGGGAUGGACUCGCGGCUUAUCAGCUUGUUGGUGGGGUAGUGGCUUACCAAGGCUUUGACGGGUAGCCGGCCUGAGAGGGUGACCGGCCACAUUGGGACUGAGAUACGGCCCAGACUCCUACGGGAGGCAGCAGUGGGGAAUAUUGCACAAUGGGCGGAAGCCUGAUGCAGCAACGCCGCGUGCGGGAUGACGGCCUUCGGGUUGUAAACCGCUUUCGCCUGUGACGAAGCGUGAGUGACGGUAAUGGGUAAAGAAGCACCGGCUAACUACGU